GGGGAUUUAGCUCAGUGGUAGAGCGCUUGCCUAGCAAGCGCAAGGCCCUGGGUUUGAUCCUCAGCUCCA
Molecule: transfer RNA, 69 nt
Filed under: Rattus norvegicus (Norway rat)
Lineage: Eukaryota; Metazoa; Chordata; Mammalia; Rodentia; Muridae
Also listed under: 1 other name
Rfam family: tRNA
About the family: Transfer RNA (tRNA) molecules are approximately 80 nucleotides in length. Their secondary structure includes four short double-helical elements and three loops (D, anti-codon, and T loops).
Source: Rfam by way of RNAcentral